RNAcentral lists this ribosomal RNA (491 nucleotides) under Neopristilophus serrifer. RNAcentral's name for it is "partial 16S ribosomal RNA". It matches the Rfam family "Archaeal large subunit ribosomal RNA", at positions 1951 to 2679 of the family's 2987-position model. Lineage: Eukaryota; Metazoa; Arthropoda; Insecta; Coleoptera; Elateridae. The record is from RNAcentral.
CUGCUCAAUGAGGAUUUAAAUUGCCGCGGUAUUUUGACCGUGCAAAGGUAGCAUAAUAAUUAGUUUCUUUAUUGGAAGCUGGAAUGAAUGAUUGGACGAGAAAAUUACUGUCUUGAGAAAUUUAUUUUUGAAUUUAACUUUUGAGUUAAAAGGCUCAAAUUUUAUUUAUAACGAGAAGACCCUAUAGAGUUUUAUAUUAAUUGGAUUUAUUAGUUUUUGGUUAUUUAAUGUUUUGAGUUUUGUUAAUAUUUGGUUGGGGUGACUUAAAGAUUUAUUAAACUCUUUAAAUUUUAAAUCAUUGAUUUAUGAAUAAAUAAUCUAGUUUUGUCUAAAUUUAAGAUAAAUUACCUUAGGGAUAACAGCGUAAUUUCUUUUUAGAGUUCUUAUUAAAAGGGAAGAUUGCGACCUCGAUGUUGGAUUAAAAUUAAUUUUUGGUGCAGAAGCUUAAAAAUUGGGUCUGUUCGACCUUUGAAAUUUUACAUGAUCUGAGU